GUUUCAUUGGGUAGUAAUGACACUGAAAUUUCUAAUUCUGUUAAUGACCUUUUAGACCUAGAGGCUGAGCGGGCCUUGGAGAUGAUCCGUAAUAUUGCGGCUGUCAAAUCUAUGAGUGAUUCUGAGGUUGAUGCACUCGGGGUGAGGGUGUUAGAUAACUUUUGUGUGGAUCUUAUGCAACCUACUACUGAUGAGGAUGCUCUGCCUGAGUCUAACGAGAUAGUGUUGGCUAGCCCAUCUAAGACUAGUUGUGAGGACCAGUUGCAGAGUCAAACGAUCCCCAAGCGCAAGUGGAAAAGGAAGGUAUACCCGGUUUCCCCAGUGCGCAGGAGUGCUAGGUUACGUACGGCAAAAAAAAUUCCAUGA
RNAcentral lists this ribosomal RNA (366 nucleotides) under Triticum aestivum (bread wheat). RNAcentral's name for it is "partial small subunit ribosomal RNA". The record is from RNAcentral. Lineage: Eukaryota; Viridiplantae; Streptophyta; Magnoliopsida; Poales; Poaceae.